Non-coding RNA from Linepithema humile (Argentine ant), 9520 nucleotides. Lineage: Eukaryota; Metazoa; Arthropoda; Insecta; Hymenoptera; Formicidae. The record is from RefSeq and is a predicted model, not a curated record.
GCUGUCGGGCAGUAUUGGCGAGUGUGGCGAGCGAAAUUGUGUUGAAAGCUUGUCUGUGAAACAUGGCAGCGGUGAUCUCGGAGUUUCGCUCGCGUGACGGUCGCCCGUGAUUUUUUUAACGCCGAUGAAAUGACAAUAUGAACGGUAGGCCAGCCCCGCUGAGGAGGUCGGGCCCGAUACCGCGACAACAGGGAGCAAAGACGCAGCGGAGAUCGCCACGAACAAGUUUAUCGCAGAUCAUGACAAUUUAAUGAAAAGCAAGAAUAAUGGAUGGCACACGAGCAGCAGAAGUAUUGCCGUUGCUGCAGGAACGUCUGGCGAUACUGCCGGGCGGACGAGAUCGCAGAGGUGGACCUGUACUUCUGUUUCCCAGCACGCCGAGACGCGAGCGUGCGAAACCCGAGGAUUACAGACGCCUCCUGCAAUAUCUGUUCGCUAUCCCAAGCGAUGAGGCCAGAGGACUGCGAUUUACUGUAAUUGUAGAUAUGCGCGGUACUACAUGGGAUUCUGUAAAACCUAUUUUGAAGGUGUUACACGAGCAUUUUCAUCGCACAGUUCAUGUCGCUUUUCUUAUCAAACCAGAGAACUUUUGGCAGAAACAAAGGACUUCAUUAGGCAAACAGAAAAAAUAUAAUUUUGAGAUUAAUACAAUAAGCUUAGAAGCUCUCGUAAAAGUUAUAGAUCCUUCUCAACUCACUGCAGAUUUAGAUGGAUCCUUACAAUACGAUCAUGCUCAGUGGAUUGAUACUAGAUUAGUUGUAGAAGACUUUACAUGGCAGGCAGCUGACCUACUCGACCGCUUGGACGACUUGCAAGAGGAUCUUAGUAGAAACGAUUUUGCUGACGAUGUUGCGGGAGCUAAGCACGGCAUCGAUUUGCACAAUGAGAUGAAGAAGAAAAUCAUGAAAGUGCCAGUGGAGGAUAUCGAAGUUGUUGGACAACGCCUACUUCAGCGGUUUAAUAACAGUGCAACAGCGACGGGCGGAGAAGGCGGAAGUAUUGACAAUGGCGCGGCAAGUUGCGCGGAUUCCGAUGGACGAGCACUGGCCACUAUGGUUAUUCAGCAUUUGGAUUCUGUGCAUGCCGCGCAGCAGCAUCUCUUACAAUUGUGGCACAUCAAAAAGAUGAAGCUGGACCAGUGCUUUCAGCUGCGAUUGUUUGAGCAGGACUGUGAGAAGAUGUUCGAUUGGAUUUGUCACAACCGGGAAGCGUUUCUCGCCAGCUAUGUGGAGAUUGGUCGCUCGUAUCAGCUGGCUAAGAAUCUGCAAGAGGAACAUAAACAUUUCACAAUGAGUUCGAUGAACGUUUACGUGAAUAUCAACAAGAUCCUCACGAUGGCCGGCAGAUUGCUGGAGACGCAGCACUAUGCGGCCGGACACGUGCGAGCGGUGGCGGGUCGUCUGGAUCGCGCCUGGAAGGAAUUCGCCGCGGGUCUCGACGAACGUACCGCAGUACUUAGUUUAAGUGUAGUGUUUCACCACAAAGCGGAACAGUACGUCGACAACGUGCCUGGCUGGAGUCAAGCGUGCGAAAUUAGCAAUCUGCCCAGUGAAAUCCCAGUGCUCGAGUCUCACAUUCGUCAACAUCAGACUCUUUAUGAAGCGAUGUGUCAGGCAUACACAGAGGUUUACAAUGCAUAUCAAGCAUUAUUGAGCGGCCUGGGUUCAAUGCUGCAAGUAUGUCAUAAUGUGAACGCCCAUUCUACAGGGUCGGAUACUUUUCGCGUCGAUUACGUGCAUAGUACGAGUAAGAAGCUUCUUUAUCAACUGGAUCAUCUUGUGCAAGUCUGUAAUCAACCGCAAGGAAUUGACCAUGUCGCCAGAAAACAUAGUCAAGAUGGACACAGUAUCGAUAGCCAUACCGGCACGAGCGGCAAUCCAGCUGCUGAUUACAGCGAAGGCGCAUCCCACGUAUUAGCUGUCAUUCAUCAGAUUCUCGGUCAUCACAGAGCAUUAGAGGCCCGCUGGCACGCCCGCAAAGUCAAGCUGCAUCAACGGCUUGCAUUAAAAUUAUUUCAAGAAGAUGUGAAGCAAGUUCUCGAUUGGCUGACGAAUCACGGCGAAGUCUUUAUCAGGAAAAACACAGGCGUAGGUCGCAACCUGCAGAAGGCACGCGUUUAUCAAAAAAGCCAUGAACACUUUGAAAACGUAGCUCAGAAUACUUACACAAAUGCUACGAAACUUCUGACCGCUGCCGAAGAGCUUGCUCACACGGGAGAAUGCGCGCCCGACGAAAUAUACGCAGUGGCGCAAGAAUUGGAGGCGCACGUUAGCAGUUUUGCGGCGAGAGUCGAGCAGCGGCGUCGUAGAUUAGAUCUGGCAGUAGUAUUUUACACUCACGAGAAGGAGCUUACCGGGUGGGUGGACGAGUUGCGUCAAGAGCUGCAACAGGAUGAAGUAGCGGAGAAUUUAGAGACUGCGGAGAGACUGUUAGAGCAGUGCGCGCAGCACAGAUCGUCCUGUCUCGAGGCGUGCGCUUCGACGAUAGCGCAGGGCGAGGCCCUGCUGCAGGAGCUUCGCGAGGCGACCGACGCGCCCGACACAACCGGCUCGAUAUCGGCGGUGGAAUCGGCACUGGAUAGAUUGUCGAAUUUGAGACAGGAACUGGAGGAUCUGUGGACCACGAAGAAACUGAGAUUGGAACUAUGCCUGCGGUUGCGCGUCUUCGAACGCGACGCGCUGGAGGCGAGCGGUCAGUUGGAGAUGUGGGCGCAAGAAUUGCAGGGUCCGCCGCGCGAGGGUUCGCCCGAGCAGUUGCUGCGCGUGCACAACGACGGAGUCGCUCACAUGCAGAACACCGCCUUUCAAAUCUUGCACCGCGGCCAAGAAUUGGCACAGGUCUUGGAGGAGGCGGGGGUCUGCAUCAUGGCGGACGGUCAGCAUAGCGCCGCGGCGCGCGUGCAAGUGCUCCUCGAGUUUCUGAACGAGAGAGAAUUGGACGCGGAGGAUCUCGCAGAGAUGCGACGGGUGCGACUGGAGCAGGCCGCACAGCUGCUACAAUUGCAGACGGACGCCUCUCACGUGAUCAAGUGGAUACGGAACGGCGAGUCGAUACUGCUGGCUUCGUUGAGGAUACCGGACGACUUCGAGGACGCCGAUCAGCUGGGGAAGGAGCACGAUCAAUUCCAAAUCGCGAUCACGAACACUCACGCCUCCGCGGUGCAGGUGAAACACAAAGCGGAUUCUCUGAUAAGCGGCAAUCACUACGACCCGAAGAGCAUCAGGGAGGUCGCGGAGGAUGUUACCAAACGGUGGCAGCAGUUAGUGACUUGUGCGGAAGAGCGACACAAAUUGAUCACCGCCAGCUUGAACUUUUACAAAACGGUGGACUCGGUGCGCUCGGUGCUCGACAGCUUGGAGCUGCAGUACAACGUGGACGACGACUGGUGCGCCGACGGAGAAAAGGCCGGAUCCAUACCGGCGUCCAUUACGAGGCAUCAGGAGCAAAAGGAGGCUUUUCUGAAGGCGUGUACGCUCGUGCGGCGAACCGGCGAGACGUUCUUGAAGUACAUCAAUCGUAGCCUGCAGUUUUAUAGCUAUCACGCCAACAGCGCCGGAUCCGCGAACAAGGUGAAAAAUAUUUUGGAAGAGUUGGUCGGUAAGGAGAACAAGGUGCUGGAGUACUGGACGCAACGAAAGAAGCGCUUGGAUCAGUGUCAUCAGUACGUUCUAUUCGAACGCAGCGCGAAACAGGCCCUCGAAUGGAUCAGGGAAACCGGAGAAUUGUAUCUAGCGACGCACAUCAACGUCGGUAAGAAUCGCAUCGAGAACGAGCAGCUGCUGCAGGAGCACAACGAGUUCAAGGGCGCGGCGAAGGAAACGAGAGAGCGGGUGAAGCUGUUGAUUCAGCUCGCCGACAAUCUGGUCGAAAGAGGCCACGCUCACGCCGCGGCGAUCAAGCAGGCGGUCGCCGAAGUCGAUCAACGAUACAAGGACUUUAGCGCGCGAAUGGAUUGCUACAAGACGCAGAUCGAGGGCGAUCUCGGCAUCCAACCCGACGAGGUGCACAGAGAUCUCUCCAUCGAUCGCAACUCGGAUCCGCUGCUGGAGGAGAAAAUCAAAGGUAAAGAUCUGAAGGAGCUGAACGAGGAGAAGAGACGGUCCGCGCGACGGAAAGAGUUCAUUAUGGCUGAGCUCUUGCAAACCGAGCGUACGUAUGUGAAAGAUCUGGAGACUUGUAUACGUUGCUUCCUGGAGGAGACGCGAAGUGGCAAGGGAAAUAUUCCGCCGGGUUUGCACAGUCGGGAAUCGGUCAUUUUUAGCAAUAUAGAAGAGAUACAUCAGUUUCACAGUAACGUGUUUCUACGCGAGCUGGAGAAGUACGAAACCAUGCCGGAAGACGUGGGACAUUGUUUUGUAGUAUGGGCACCCAAAUUUGAUAUGUAUGUAACUUACUGUAAAAAUAAACCCGAGAGCAAUCAGCUGUUAGUAAUGCACGGCGGAAUGUGGUUUGAGGAAUUGCAGAGGAAGCAUAGAGUAGAACAUCCUAUCGCUGCAUAUUUGAUCAAACCUGUACAGAGAAUUACUAAAUAUCAGCUGCUACUUAAGGACUUACAGGCUUGUUGCCAAGAGGGACAGGGCGAAAUAAAAGAAGGAUUAGAAGUGAUGUUAAAUGUGCCUAAAAAAGCUAACGAUGCCUUACAUUUAAGUCUACUGGAAGGUUGCGACGUUAGUAUAGAUGCGCUCGGUGACGUUGUAUUGCAGGAUUCGUUCACGGUAUGGGACCCAAAACAAUUGAUCAGGAAGGGAAGAGAUCGUCACAUAUUUCUUUUCGAAUUGUAUCUCCUUUUUACCAAGGAAGUGAAAGACUCCGCUGGAAAGGUGAAAUAUGUCUACAAAAAUCGCCUGCUGACCUCCGAGCUGGGUGUGACCGAGCAUAUCGAAGGCGAUGAGUGCAAGUUUGCGGUGUGGACGGGACGAGCGCCGACCAGCGACACCCGCGUGGUACUGCGGGCAAAUUCGAUGGACGCGAAGCAGCUGUGGGUGAUGAGAUUACGCGAAGUGAUACAGGAGACCUUCUUGGGCAAAAAUAUGCCGAAGAGCCCGGCGAAAAAGAGCUCCAGUCAACGCUCCAGCAGAGAUCUGGAAGAGUGCGCGUCAUUGGACGAAAGUGUGGAGAAUCUCGAUAGAAAUUCAUUGGCUUCCUUCGGCUCGACCAAUACCACGGACUCUGAUAAGACCGGAGUGGUCGAGAUGACGUGGGUGGUGGCCGAUCACAUGGCGGCACCGGGCUCGAGGGAGCUGAGCGUGACGAAGGGACAGCAGGUCGAGGUGCUGGAGAACGGCAGCACGAAUACCGGCGCCACCGGGGUCCCCAGCACCGGCGAGUGGACCCUGGUGCGUCUGCCGCUCACGCCCGGACAAGCCGAGCCACCCGCGGAGGGUCUGGUGCCCACGAGCGCUCUCAAGCAACCGCCGACCGCCUCCUGCAAAACUUCGCCGUCCAGAAAAGCGUCCACGCAGCAGCAGCAACAGCAAUCGCACCAGCAUCACCAUCAUCAGCAGCAGUCGCAUCAUCAUCCGUAUCAUCCGCAGCAGCAGAUCAGUCCGGCGAUCGUCCAGGCGCAGACCUCGGUCGCGCCGUCGACCGCCGCCGGCACGUUGCCGCCGAUGGCGGCCGGCGUCGCGCCGGCCGCGCAACAGACGGCUUCGUUGACCGCCCUGUCGUCCACCGUGCUGUCGCCGAUGUUAUCGGAGGACGCAGAAACCGCCGGAAGCGACGGCAGUGGGUCGACCAGUACAAAUUCACCCGGCAACAAGAGGCGAGGUUUCAGCGGACGGAAGUGGCUCCCACCGCCUUUACGUAAACUUAGCCAAGGUAAAGUCGAGAAAACCAAUACGGCCGUGUCGACGUCAUCGACUCCUUUGAUUGGACCGUCUUUGAAGAAAAGCAGCUCAGACAAACGCUUUAAAUUACCGAGCGGCGUCGAGCACAAUCGGCCUGGCAAGACGUUCGAGGCGGAGGCCGAGGCUCAAGAGGGCGAGGAGAUAAGUAAGGAGGAGGAGGAGGAGCAGCAGGAGGUCGAGGUGGACGUGGACGUAGACGCGGACGUCACGGAGAGCGACGACACGGCGGUGACGAGUCUGCAGGAGCAGAACGGCGGCGAGGACGCCGAUGACGAUCUGGAACUCCCACCGCCGAUGAAACCGAUAACCGAACCGAUACUCGUGACGACCGCGAAUGGUCCAUCGGGAUCCACGAUACCGAGUGAAUUGCCUGGGAAGCGGUCCGCCGAACGUUCGACAAAGAUUCUCGAGAGCGGCGCCACGACGGCCGAUCUCUCGGAGAUCGAGCAGAUUGUGAAGGAGAGAAUGGAGCAACAUACAGAAAAUCAGGAAAGGCACAGUCUCAUGCGCACUCCUAACGGAAAGUCGUUGAACAACGAGGAAGAGUAUUGCAACGUGACGACUAAUACGGCCGAGGAGGCAGAUCCGGAGAGCACCGCGAUCGCCAAGCGGCAGUUUGUUAUACGCGAGCUGGUGGAAACCGAGAGAGACUACGUCAAUGACUUAAAGCAGAUAGUCGAAGGUUACAUGGCACUAAUGCGAAAUCCCGAUUGCGAGAUUCCGUUGCCGGAAGAUUUGCGCGGUGGGAAAGACAAGAUGGUUUUCGGUAAUUUAGAAGCUAUCUACGAAUGGCACAGAGACUUUUUCCUCAAAGCUUUGGAACGUUGCUUGGAACGUCCCGAAGAACUCGGACCACUCUUCAAGCGCUACGAGCGAAAGUUGCAUAUGUACGUGGUUUAUUGUCAGAAUAAGCCCGUUUCGGAAUACAUUGUGUCCGAAUAUAUGGACACUUACUUCGAGGAACUUCGGCAAAAACUUGGUCAUCGUCUGCAACUCUGCGACUUGUUGAUCAAGCCCGUACAAAGGAUUACAAAAUAUCAACUUCUUCUACGGGAGGCAUUGCGCCUCACUGAACGAACUCAAAGGUUAUCGGAAAUCGAAGGCCUCAGAGCGGCGGCUCAUGUCAUGCGAGUUAUUCCUAAAGCUGCGAACGAUAUGAUGGACGUUGGGAGAUUACAAGGUUUUGACGGUAAAAUAACGGCGCAAGGGAAACUCUUGCUGCACGGCCCGCUUUUGGUAUCGGAAAUAUCGAACGUGUCGCCGAGAGGAAGAGAAUGGCAAGUCUUUCUUUUCGAGCAAAAUAUUAUCUUUAGCGAAGCUGUCGGCAAGAAAACGCAAUUCACCAAUCCUGCCUACAUAUAUAAAGCACACAUUCAGGUAAACAAAAUGAGUCUUGAAGAUUCGAACGACGAUCCUGAGAAAUUUGUCAUUCGGUCAACGGAUCCUCGAAAGCCCGGGCUAGGAUUCUCUUGUAGUGUAGCCGAAGAAAGUAGUGGACCGCGCAGGCAGGAGUGGGUGGACACGAUCACUGCCAUCCUGCAAACUCAGCGCGACUUCCUGAAGGCGAUACAGUCACCGAUUGCCUACCAGAAGGAACUUACCAAAGAUCCACUCCGUGCCACCACGUCUGAACCAGUGACUCGAGCAACCAUGUCGGUUCCUCCGACGCUGACAGUCCCCGGAUCGGCGAAGGGUAGGAGUCAACCGUUGCAACGCUCGCAGACCGGAGGAUUGGAUUGCACGCAGCCACGCACGCCCAGCCCGACGAAGAGUAGGCUGCACUUCCUGGAGGGAUUUAAGAAUACUCUACGGACGCGCUCGCCGGUCCGCAACAACUCCAUCCCGGUCGUUCCAGGUGCUCGCGUGAGAUUAGCCGCGGAUUGGGGAAAGUUGCACGCCGGGGACGAGCUCGUCGUCUCCCAUCUGGACGGUCCGGGCUUAGUGGUAUCACCGGUGAAUACCAAGGACGAAAUGUGGAUCCCGGCGAGUCUUAUCCCGAACUCGGCGAUUAGCCGGGCGUGGUCAUUUCGGCCGCGGAAGAUCGAUCUCACGACGAGCCACGCUGCUGAUUAUCACGAGUCGACGAAACCCGAGGAGAAAGCACUGGCUGUCCUAAGCAGCCCGGCGUCGAUUCGUGCGACCACCGGCGAAGUCGUUAGACUUUCCGUCAAGACGCACAACGCGGCCGGCGCAAUUGUUACCUGGAGAAAGGAAGGCGAGGAUCAGUGUAUACGAGAGAGCGAUCGGUACCAGUUCCAGCAGAGCGCGGGCUUCGUGUACCUGCAAAUCACCAACUGCCGACCGUCGGAUUCUGGAUUCUACCAUUGUCACGUGAAAUGCGACACAGGCUCUUGCUCUGCGAGAAUUUCUCUUUCCGUCACAGGCGGGAAGAGCAGCAUUUCGGCGCGCGUUGUAGGAUCCUCGAGGGUGGAGAUCGAUUGGGACAAACGAGAGAUCGGUGGUGCGUCAUGCAGCAUAGAAUGCAGAACUUUUCCGUCGUCGCAAUGGACGUUGAUGCUGACGCAGAUUAACGAGCCGCCUACUGUGCUGGAUGUAUCGCCGGACGCAUCGUACAGUUUUCGAGUGAUUGGCGACGACGGAAGGAUGACCUCACCGUCAAUCGUGGUGACGCUGUCGCGAUCGGACGCGGACGGUGGCGCGGAAUGGGAGGCCAAGCAAUUCGUCGGCAGGUACCUGGAGUUGGACGAGCUCGGUAACGGCAGAUUCGGCACGGUCCGUCGCGCCAGGGACAAAGGUACCGGUCAGGAAGUGGCGCUCAAACAAAUCCCGCGGCACAAACAGUCCAGAUCGCUGACGCGCGCAGAGUACGACGUACUGGCCUCCACUCAUCACGCCAACAUCGUCCGAGCGUUCGCCCUGUUCGAGAACGCGCCUCGACCCGGCGUGGACACCAUCGUCCUGGAACUGGUUAAAGGUCCGACGUUGUUCACGUAUCUGAGCGAGAAGACAGAGUACACUGAAGCGACAGCAACGCGGUACACCGGUCAAUUAUUGUCCGCGCUAAGCUGGCUGCAUUGCCGUAAUCAAGCACAUCUAGAUGUGAAACCGGAGAACGUUCUCGUCGAUCAGGAUGUGAAUCAGGUGAAGCUGAUAGAUCUGGGAGAAGCGGUAAGGGCUCCCGUGGAGGAGAUCGUGCCGCCUCCCGCCGAUCUAGAAUUUGCGGCACCGGAAUCAGUGUUAGGUAGACCGACCGGUUCUUGUACGGAUAUGUGGGCCGUAGGAGUUUUUAUUUAUGUUUUAUUAAGUGGAUUGUCACCUUUUUUGGACGACUCUGUGGAGGAAACGACCGCCAACAUACUCAAAUGUGAUUUCUGUUUUCCCGAUGAAUACUUCGAGACGAUAUCUAGCGAUGCGAAAGAACUUCUCGGGAGAUUAUUGUGUCUGCGUGGUGAGGAUCGACUGAGCGCGGAGAUCUGUCUUGGAUCGCCGUGGUUAAAGAUAUCUAUCGGCGCUACCAUACCGUCCACUAGAAUGGCCGCAUUUAUAGAACGACGUGCGCACUGUCUCAAACUGCGUCAAGACCAUGACAGUUUUUAUUCUUUAGACUAACAAUAUGCAGUAAGCAUGUUACUUAAAGUACACACAUGACAACUUUAUAUAUGUAUAUAGGAAAAUAUACUUAAUGUCUAACUGUCGAUAUACUUUUUUAAAUU